Molecule: long non-coding RNA, 259 nt
Filed under: Lathyrus oleraceus (garden pea)
Lineage: Eukaryota; Viridiplantae; Streptophyta; Magnoliopsida; Fabales; Fabaceae
Description: Pisum sativum (pea) long non-coding RNA (PSAT_LNC030909)
Source: RNAcentral
AACAUCUUGCAGAUACUCAAGAGUAGAGUUUAUUGCAGUAAGUGGAAGUUAGCUCCCGGAGUUACUUCGUUUAGUUCCUCGUUAUUUUAGAAGUCUUGCUUUGAUCCUGUAACAUCAGGGUUGGGAAUAUUUGAUUAUUUUAUUCAUUUUGUGAUUUUGCUAACCGAGAGUCAUAUGUUAUACUCUUGACGUUUUGAGUUGAUGUUAUAGUGGAGACUUUUUCCAUAUGUUAUUAUGGGUUUAAUUAUUUAUUAUUUAC